GGGCCGGCAAGACCGUCAUAAUUACUACAACUGACAAGCCAACAAAAUAUACGUACAGGGCCUACAAGCCCAACAUACUGUACUAACUGACAGGAUAUAUAGCCUCUAUUGAUAGAUGUACUAUGAUUGGAACAGGACCCCGACCUACCCUUAACCCAUCUACAUAUAUGCACAAGGUGUACUCCAAACUGCUAGACCCGGCAACUCCGAAAGAGGGGGAGCUUACCGAUAAGGCUGAACUCGGGCAUACACCUACUGAGAAGGUCUACUCGUCUGUCUGUCUGAACCUGCACGUAUGAAAUGCAGCGCCCCAAGAAAGGGACGUCAGUACGAAAUAAUAUACCGAGUAUGUAAGGCAAUAUACUAAAGCUGAAACUUAACUGAUAAUAUAAUAACUGAAAACAACUGGGAGUCAAGAAAAUCUGAAGAUAUGCUCAUCUGCUGAUAUUGACUCAACUCUCUCAAUAUAGUGAGUAAAAUAGCUGUCCGGCCCUAUAAGGCUCAGUAUACAUAUAUAUCUGCUCUUCCGUAGUAAGCUCGGCUCGCUCAUAAGUGCUCGGCCAUACUAGGCUCUGUAUCUCGACCAACUGGGCUCGCUCAUAAGCGCUCGACCACAAUAGGCUCGGUAUAUAACUUACCAUCUUAUUAGAGGUUGCCCAAUAGAGGCCUGCCCAUCGAUUAUAGCUCGAUAGUAAUGAAAAUACUUUUAAUACUGUAUAUAUGUAAACUCUCUACUCUUUUGACCGGAAGAAGGAAAUACUCAACUGAAUAUGCAGUCCCGAUAAGAAGAAUAUGGUAACUUACAAAACUAGAAAAAUAUAUGUAAUUUGCAAGACUAGCAAAAUAUACGUAAAUUCUGGAUACGAAUUUUUCUUUAUGCCUCGUUAUCAGACUUGUGUAAUUACGAUAUCAUGCUAAAAUGAAGGAAAAACUUAGCCUUAACAUACCUGUUCCUAGAAUUUAUUUGAACAAAAUGAAGCUUUCUGCUUCUUGCAAAAUACGAACGAACCUAGGCUUGGAUUGAACAAAAUUGUUGUUGUUCUUUGAAUUCCAAUCGAACUUUGGCUAAAUAAUUUGGACGAAAGCAACUUCUGUUCCAAGAUCUUGGAUUUUAAAAUCCAAGGCAGAAUGUUGUUUAACCUAAGGAAUUUGGACGAAAUGGAUUUGGCUAAGGAAUCUCUUUCCAAGUUAAUCCAAGGCAGAAUGUUGUUUAACCUAAGGAAUUUUGGACGAAAUGGAAAUACUUCUUGGCUUAAAUGCCAAAGUAAUGC
This 1271-nucleotide long non-coding RNA is filed under the name Nicotiana tabacum (common tobacco). RNAcentral's name for it is "long non-coding RNA (NTAB_LNC016789)". Lineage: Eukaryota; Viridiplantae; Streptophyta; Magnoliopsida; Solanales; Solanaceae. The record is from RNAcentral.